UGGCAGUUGAUAAGGACGUGUAGAGUCGAGAAGAAUGAUUAAAAAAUAUAUCGAAGUGUUGGCUUUUCGAAUGCGGUUCGGACUAAACAUUUUUUAGGCUACACCUUUCAAAUGUUCCUCUGUUUUCAAAAAAUACUAACCAAUGUACUGUCAAUUUAAUUAAUCGUACAUCGACUCACGAUAUUUCUUGUUUGACAGUUUAGGUACCAGCAUUCUUCUAUCAUUGAACUCUGAGUAGUCACUACAGUAGACUUGGUGCGAAACCGAUCCAUGGUCGAAUAACCGACUCUGCAGAGCGUAUGUGUCGACCGAAUAAUGUAAGCAGCGUGGCGUUACUAUUGUGGCAACUAUUGAGUUGCUUGCCUCGACAGUGCUAUCCAACUGGUAGGAAAUCCGAAAUGUAGACAAAUAAGCGAUAACAAGGCCCAGAAACGGAAAACAUACGCCAAAACGACAUACAUCUAUUAUUCGUUAAAAAAUUGUCUAUGUCGCUAAAUUGCUCACCUUUGCUUGUGAACGUAAAUGAUUUAUUAUAAAUACUCUGGUGUGGCGCCACCGAUCAUAAUAAGGAUGCCUUUUUAACAAAAUUAAAGGUUUUAGUUUUGGGAGAGCUAUUUGAUUGGGAGAAGUUUUAUAAGCAGUCCAAAAGACCGGAGUUAUUGGAUAAACCAAAAUUCGUGGCCUUAUAUGGAACAAGAGAAAUAUAUACAUGCAUGCACACUUUUAUACAUUUCAUUUUCUAGUUGAACAUCUUCRUUGU
This is a long non-coding RNA of Bactrocera latifrons, 760 nucleotides long. RefSeq lists it as uncharacterized. Lineage: Eukaryota; Metazoa; Arthropoda; Insecta; Diptera; Tephritidae. The transcript has 3 exons. The record is from RefSeq and is a predicted model, not a curated record.